This 321-nucleotide ribosomal RNA is filed under the name uncultured bacterium. Its description in RNAcentral is "bacterial SSU rRNA". It matches the Rfam family "Bacterial small subunit ribosomal RNA", at positions 29 to 362 of the family's 1533-position model. The record is from RNAcentral.
AAUGAACGUUGGCGGCGUGGAUUAGGCAUGCAAGUCGCGCGACAAGGAACCUUCGGGUUCUGGAGGAGCGGCAAACGGGGUAGUAAGGCAUCGAAACGUACCCUCUUGUUGGGGAUAGCCGCGGGAAACUGCGAGUAAUGCCCAAUAAUCCCUACGGGGCAAAGGUCCGCCGCAGGAGGAGCGGCCGAUGUGAUACCAGCUAGUUGGUGAGGUAAUGGCUCACCAAGGCUUAGACGUCUAGGGGGGUGUGAGAGCAUGGCCCCCACCACUGGGACGUGAGAUACUGCCCACGANACCUACGGGUGGGCUGCAGUCGAGAAU